GACGAACGCUGGCGGCGUGCUUAACACAUGCAAGUCGAACGGAAAGGCCCCCUUGUGGGGUACUCGAGUGGCGAACGGGUGAGUAACACGUGAGUAACCUACCCUUGACUUUGGGAUAACUUCAGGAAACUGGGGCUAAUACCGGAUAGGAGCUCCUGCUGCAUGGUGGGGGUUGGAAAGUUUCGGCGGUUGGGGAUGGACUCGCGGCUUAUCAGCUUGUUGGUGGGGUAGUGGCUCACCAAGGCUUUGACGGGUAGCCGGCCUGAGAGGGUGACCGGCCACAUUGGGACUGAGAUACGGCCCAGACUCCUACGGGAGGCAGCAGUGGGGAAUAUUGCGCAAUGGGCGGAAGCCUGAUGCAGCAACGCCGCGUGCGGGAUGACGGCCUUCGGGUUGUAAACCGCUUUCGCCUGUGACGAAGCGUGAGUGACGGUAAUGGGUAAAGAAGCACCGGCUAACUACGUG
Molecule: ribosomal RNA, 465 nt
Filed under: uncultured bacterium
Lineage: Bacteria
Description: partial 16S ribosomal RNA
Rfam family: Bacterial small subunit ribosomal RNA
Source: RNAcentral